This 79-nucleotide small RNA is filed under the name Salmonella enterica. RNAcentral describes it as "partial RtT sRNA". It matches the Rfam family "RtT RNA", at positions 1 to 78 of the family's 130-position model. From Rfam's summary of the family: This family represents a bacterial cis-regulatory element known as RtT RNA. The exact function of RtT is unknown although it is thought that it may be involved in changing the cellular response in relation to amino acid starvation. The record is from RNAcentral. Lineage: Bacteria; Pseudomonadati; Pseudomonadota; Gammaproteobacteria; Enterobacterales; Enterobacteriaceae.
AUAUCUCUCUGUACGGGAAGGAUGAGAAGCUUCGACUAAGGUUCGAUUCGAGCGCAGCGAGAAAGCGUUGCCGUAGGCA